This 478-nucleotide ribosomal RNA is filed under the name uncultured bacterium. RNAcentral describes it as "partial 16S ribosomal RNA". It matches the Rfam family "Bacterial small subunit ribosomal RNA", at positions 28 to 523 of the family's 1533-position model. The record is from RNAcentral.
GACGAACGCUGGCGGCGUGCUUAACACAUGCAAGUCGAACGGUAAGGCCCUUCGGGGUACACGAGUGGCGAACGGGUGAGUAACACGUGGGUGAUCUGCCCUGCACUUCGGGAUAAGACUGGGAAACUGGGUCUAAUACCGGAUAGGACUCCGGACUGCAUGGUCUGGGGUGGAAAGCUUUUGUGGUGUGGGAUGGGCCCGCGGCCUAUCAGCUUGUUGGUGGGGUGAUGGCCUACCAAGGCGACGACGGGUAGCCGGCCUGAGAGGGUGACCGGCCACACUGGGACUGAGAUACGGCCCAGACUCCUACGGGAGGCAGCAGUGGGGAAUAUUGCACAAUGGGCGCAAGCCUGAUGCAGCGACGCCGCGUGAGGGAUGACGGCCUUCGGGUUGUAAACCUCUUUCAGCAUCGACGAAGCGAAAGUGACGGUAGGUGCAGAAGAAGGACCGGCCAACUACGUGCCAGCAGCCGCCGUAA